Molecule: ribosomal RNA, 435 nt
Filed under: uncultured bacterium
Lineage: Bacteria
Description: bacterial SSU rRNA
Rfam family: Bacterial small subunit ribosomal RNA
Source: RNAcentral
UGAGGAAUAUUGGUCAAUGGCCGCAGGGCUGAACCAGCCAAGUCGCGUGAGGGACGACUGCCCUAUGGGUUGUAAACCUCUUUUAUAAGGGAAGAAUAAGUGCCACGUGUGGCACGAUGCCAGUACCUUAUGAAUAAGCAUCGGCUAACUCCGUGCCAGCAGCCGCGGUAAUACGGAGGAUGCGAGCGUUAUCCGGAUUUAUUGGGUUUAAAGGGUGCGUAGGCGGCGCGUUAAGUUAGUGGUCAAAUGUCGGGGCUUUACCCCGGACCGCCAUUAAAACUGGCGUGCUCGAGUCCAGACGAGGCAGGCGGAAUAAGUUAAGUAGCGGUGAAAUGCUUAGAUAUAACUUAGAACCCCGAUAGCGCAGGCAGCUUGCCAGACUGGGACUGACGCUGAAGCACGAGAGCGUGGGUAUGCGAACAGGAUUAGAUACCC